This is a long non-coding RNA of Nematostella vectensis (starlet sea anemone), 255 nucleotides long. RefSeq lists it as uncharacterized. The record is from RefSeq and is a predicted model, not a curated record. The transcript has 2 exons. Lineage: Eukaryota; Metazoa; Cnidaria; Anthozoa; Actiniaria; Edwardsiidae.
UGUGGAUAGGUAAGGGUCACCCUGCACAAGGUGUGGAUAGGUAAGGGUUACCCUACACAAGGUGUGGAUAGGUAAGGGUCACCCUGCACAAGGUGUGGAUAGGUAAGGGUUACCCUGCACAAGGUGUUGAUAGGUAAGGGUCACCCUGCACAAGGUGUGGAUAGGUAAGGGUUACCCUAUACAAGGUGUGUUGUUAAUGCUGUAGUGUGCCUGCUUCUUAUGUUUACUGAUGUAAAUACAAAAAUAUGCAAACAA